RNAcentral lists this ribosomal RNA (253 nucleotides) under uncultured bacterium. Its description in RNAcentral is "partial 16S ribosomal RNA". It matches the Rfam family "Bacterial small subunit ribosomal RNA", at positions 524 to 776 of the family's 1533-position model. The record is from RNAcentral.
UACGUAGGGUGCAAGCGUUGUCCGGAAUUAUUGGGCGUAAAGAGCUCGUAGGCGGUUCGUCGCGUCGGCUGUGAAAACCCGGAGCUCAACUCCGGGCCUGCAGUCGAUACGGGCGGACUGGAGUUCGGCAGGGGAGACUGGAAUUCCUGGUGUAGCGGUGAAAUGCGUAGAUAUCAGGAGGAACACCUGUGGCGAAAGCGGCUCACUGGACCACAACUGACGCUGAGGCGCGAAAGCUAGGGGAGCAAACAGG